This 492-nucleotide ribosomal RNA is filed under the name uncultured bacterium. RNAcentral's name for it is "partial 16S ribosomal RNA". It matches the Rfam family "Bacterial small subunit ribosomal RNA", at positions 29 to 507 of the family's 1533-position model. The record is from RNAcentral.
AGUGAACGCUGGCGGUAGGCCUAACACAUGCCAGUCGAACGGCAGCACAGUAAGAGCUUGCUCUUACGGGUGGCGAGUGGCGGACGGGUGCGGAAUACAUCGGAAUCUACUUUUUCGAGGGGGAUAACGUAGGGAAACUUACGCUAAUACCGCAUACGACCUACGGGUGAAAGCAUGGGAUCUUCGGACCUUGCGCGAUUGAAUGAGCCGAUGUCGGAUUAGCUAGUUGGCGGGGUAAAGGCCCACCAAGGCGACGAUCCGUAGCUGGUCUGAGAGGAUGAUCAGCCACACUGGAACUGAGACACGGUCCAGACUCCUACGGGAGGCAGCAGUGGGGAAUAUUGGACAAUGGGCGCAAGCCUGAUCCAGCCAUACCGCGUGGGUGAAGAAGGCCUUCGGGUUGUAAAGCCCUUUUGUUGGGAAAGAAAAGCAGCAGGUUAAUACCCCGCUGUUCUGACGUUACCCAAAGAAUAAGCACCGGCUAACUUCGUG